CUGUUCAACUACACAAACUGUCAACACACUCUCAACAGAGGCUACACUCCAAAAGAUGAAUCAUCACUGAUUUUCUGGAGCUCAGCUAUCCAACUACACAGACUGUGAACACACUCCCAGGAGAGAACAUGUAAGUGUGACCAGCCCUGUUCAGUUAAGGAUACUUCUCUUCACCAAUGCUGUCAUAUCCUACAACAUUGUUAUCUGUAGAGAGAAACUGCCACUCAGUCAUAACAAAAUACACAUAAUGGUGGACUUACAGGCAUCAUAGAGGAUUAUGAAAU
Molecule: long non-coding RNA, 284 nt
Organism: Labeo rohita (rohu)
Lineage: Eukaryota; Metazoa; Chordata; Actinopteri; Cypriniformes; Cyprinidae
Exons: 4
Source: RefSeq, a predicted model, not a curated record